CCCUUAGAUGUUCUGGGCCGCACGCGCGCUACACUGAUGCAUUCAACAAGUUCUACCUUGGCCGAGAGGCCUGGGAAAUCUUUCAAAUAUGUAUCGUGAUAGGGAUAGAUUAUUGCAAUUAUUAAUCUUGAACGAGGAAUUCCUAGUAAAUGCAGAUCAUCAUUCUGCGUUGAUUACGUCCCUGCCCUUUGUACACACCGCCCGUCGCACCUACCGAUUGAAUGAUCCGGUGAAGCCUCGGGAUUGUGCCCAGAGAACUUUAUUGUGAUUUGGGUGUGAGAACUUGUCUAAACCUUAUCAUUUAGAGGAGGGUGAAGUCGUAACA
This 325-nucleotide ribosomal RNA is filed under the name uncultured eukaryote. Its description in RNAcentral is "partial 18S ribosomal RNA". It matches the Rfam family "Eukaryotic small subunit ribosomal RNA", at positions 1470 to 1796 of the family's 1831-position model. The record is from RNAcentral.